UUUUAUGGAGAGUUUGAUCCUGGCUCAGAGUGAACGCUGGCGGCGUGCCUAAUACAUGCAAGUCGAACGAUGAAAUUUCUAGCUUGCUAGAAGUGGAUUAGUGGCGCACGGGUGAGUAACGCAUAGGUUAUGUGCCUCUUAGUUUGGGAUAGCCAUUGGAAACGAUGAUUAAUACCAGAUACUCCCUACGGGGGAAAGAUUUAUCGCUAAGAGAUCAGCCUAUGUCCUAUCAGCUUGUUGGUAAGGUAAUGGCUUACCAAGGCUAUGACGGGUAUCCGGCCUGAGAGGGUGAACGGACACACUGGAACUGAGACACGGUCCAGACUCCUACGGGAGGCAGCAGUAGGGAAUAUUGCUCAAUGGGGGAAACCCUGAAGCAGCAACGCCGCGUGGAGGAUGAAGGUUUUAGGAUUGUAAACUCCUUUUGUUAGAGAAGAUAAUGACGGUAUCUAACGAAUAAGCACCGGCUAACUCCGUGCCAGCAGCCGCGGUAAUACGGAGGGUGCAAGCGUUACUCGGAAUCACUGGGCGUAAAGAGCGCGUAGGCGGGAUAGUCAGUCAGGUGUGAAAUCCUAUGGCUUAACCAUAGAACUGCAUUUGAAACUACUAUUCUAGAGUGUGGGAGAGGUAGGUGGAAUUCUUGGUGUAGGGGUAAAAUCCGUAGAGAUCAAGAGGAAUACUCAUUGCGAAGGCGACCUGCUGGAACAUUACUGACGCUGAUUGCGCGAAAGCGUGGGGAGCAAACAGGAUUAGAUACCCUGGUAGUCCACGCCCUAAACGAUGGAUGCUAGUUGUUGGAGGGCUUAGUCUCUCCAGUAAUGCAGCUAACGCAUUAAGCAUCCCGCCUGGGGAGUACGGUCGCAAGAUUAAAACUCAAAGGAAUAGACGGGGACCCGCACAAGCGGUGGAGCAUGUGGUUUAAUUCGAAGAUACACGAAGAACCUUACCUAGGCUUGACAUUGAGAGAAUCCGCUAGAAAUAGUGGAGUGUCUAGCUUGCUAGACCUUGAAAACAGGUGCUGCACGGCUGUCGUCAGCUCGUGUCGUGAGAUGUUGGGUUAAGUCCCGCAACGAGCGCAACCCCCUUUCUUAGUUGCUAACAGGUCAUGCUGAGAACUCUAAGGAUACUGCCUCCGUAAGGAGGAGGAAGGUGGGGACGACGUCAAGUCAUCAUGGCCCUUACGCCUAGGGCUACACACGUGCUACAAUGGGGUGCACAAAGAGAAGCAAUACUGCGAAGUGGAGCCAAUCUUCAAAACACCUCUCAGUUCGGAUUGUAGGCUGCAACUCGCCUGCAUGAAGCUGGAAUCGCUAGUAAUCGCAAAUCAGCCAUGUUGCGGUGAAUACGUUCCCGGGUCUUGUACUCACCGCCCGUCACACCAUGGGAGUUGUGUUUGCCUUAAGUCAGGAUGCUAAAUUAGCUACUGCCCACGGCACACACAGCGACUGGGGUGAAGUCGUAACAAGGUAACCGUAGGUGAACCUGCGGUUGGAUCACCUCCUUUCUA
Molecule: ribosomal RNA, 1507 nt
Filed under: Helicobacter pylori SouthAfrica7
Lineage: Bacteria; Pseudomonadati; Campylobacterota; Epsilonproteobacteria; Campylobacterales; Helicobacteraceae
Description: bacterial SSU rRNA
Rfam family: Bacterial small subunit ribosomal RNA
Source: RNAcentral